UGUCUUUUAGAAUUUAAUUUAAAGUCUAGCCUGCCCACUGAAUUUUUUUAAAUGGCCGCAGUAUUCUAACUGUGCAAAGGUAGCAUAAUCAUUAGUCUUUUAAUUGAAGGCUGGAAUGAAUGGUUGGAUGAAAUAUUAACUGUUUCAUAAGAAUUUAUAAUAGAAUUUUAUUUUUUAGUUAAAAAGCUAAGAUAACAUUAAUAGACGAGAAGACCCUAUAAAUCUUUAUAUUUUAAAAGUUAAAAUUAUAUGGAAAAAUUUAAAUUUAAUUUUAAAAAAUAUUUUAUUGGGGUGAUAUUAAAAUUUGAAAAACUUUUAAUUUGUAAAUAAACAUAAAUUAUUGAGUAUUUGACCCGUUUAUUACGAUUAAAAAAUUAAGUUACUUUAGGGAUAACAGCGUAAUUUUUUUAGAGAGUUCAUAUUGAUAAAAAAGAUUGCGACCUCGAUGUUGGAUUAAGAUAUAGUUUUAGGUGCAGUAGCUUAAAUCUUAAAGUCUGUUCGACUUUUAAAUUCUUACAUG
RNAcentral lists this ribosomal RNA (520 nucleotides) under Myriophora borealis. Its description in RNAcentral is "partial 16S ribosomal RNA". The stretch from base 390 to 520 matches the Rfam family "Bacterial large subunit ribosomal RNA", at positions 2473 to 2602 of the family's 2925-position model. Lineage: Eukaryota; Metazoa; Arthropoda; Insecta; Diptera; Phoridae. The record is from RNAcentral.